UUUGGGGAUUACCUGGGUGUGUCUAAGGUGUUUAGAAAAAAGAAAAGAAAAAAACACCUUAGACUCUAAGGUGUUUUUUUUUCUUCUUUUUCUAAACACCUUAGACACACCCAGGUAAUCCCUAAACCC
Non-coding RNA from Pelobates cultripes (western spadefoot toad), 129 nucleotides. NCBI's taxonomy places the organism in Eukaryota, Metazoa, Chordata, Amphibia, Anura, Pelobatidae. The record is from the annotation of a GenBank genome assembly.